UGGAAAGUUACCGCGCCUGCAGCAGCGUUUUGAGUGUGUUGGUGUUGAGUCCCGCGUGCGCCUGUGUCUCCGGGACAGGGACUCGGUCACUUUUGUGGAAAGGCCUACGUGUGCAAGGAGCAAAUACUACAGAAAUUUCCUGGAACCUUGUGGGACAUGCCCAGGAGGGUCUAUGCAGGGAUGUUCUCAGCAUAAACACUCAAUUUUUUGGAUUGAAUCUACCCAGGGGAUUAGACACCAGUUCUUAGUAGAGAAGAGAUCACCUUGACCUUGUAAGUUUCAACAUCUUCAAGUUACAUAAUGAAGGGAAUUACAACACACACUUUUCAUAAACAAGUGUUACCAGGAUGCUAUAAAAUAGACUUUUUUUAAUCAAUGAAGAUUCAAAUAAAUUAAUAAAGAUUGAUUAAUUUAUUUGAAAG
RNAcentral lists this long non-coding RNA (422 nucleotides) under Oryctolagus cuniculus (rabbit). Its description in RNAcentral is "lncRNA (ENSOCUG00000037651.1)". Lineage: Eukaryota; Metazoa; Chordata; Mammalia; Lagomorpha; Leporidae. The record is from RNAcentral.